Long non-coding RNA from Solanum dulcamara, 339 nucleotides. RefSeq lists it as uncharacterized. The record is from RefSeq and is a predicted model, not a curated record. NCBI's taxonomy places the organism in Eukaryota, Viridiplantae, Streptophyta, Magnoliopsida, Solanales, Solanaceae. The transcript has 3 exons.
GGUCAUAUAUAAUUGUCGCCUUUCAGAACCCUAGGAUUACACUUUCAUCUUAACAUUCACAUUGUAUUGGAUUUAUAUUGUGAAUAUCUUGGGCCUUGGAGGUCUGACAUUCAUUUGUAGAUGAAUUGCUGGUAUCAUAAUUCACAACCAUUUUCAUGCAACUCGUUUUUCACUUGAUAGACUAUGUCAGAGACACACUUCUACUAGAGCUAUCAUGCGACAACACUUUGUUGGGAAUAAUCACAAAUAACCCAUUGCUUCCAGUUCAGCAUUUCAGUAUCAGCAAACCUCCUCAGGAAUUCAACCAUAAUUACCUGGAGAGCUAUUGUCACUCCCACU